GCUGGGUGUGGUGGUGUGCACCUGUAAUCCCAGCUACUCAGGAGGCUGAGGCAGGAGAAUCACUUGUACCCAGGAGGUGGAGGUUGCAGUGAGCCGAGAUGACGCCACUGCACUCCAGCCUGGGCAACAGAGUGAGACUCUAUCUCAA
RNAcentral lists this small RNA (148 nucleotides) under Pongo abelii (Sumatran orangutan). RNAcentral describes it as "Metazoan signal recognition particle RNA (ENSPPYG00000030564.1)". The record is from Rfam by way of RNAcentral. Lineage: Eukaryota; Metazoa; Chordata; Mammalia; Primates; Hominidae.